RNAcentral lists this transfer RNA (70 nucleotides) under Felis catus (domestic cat). It matches the Rfam family "tRNA". Rfam says of the family: Transfer RNA (tRNA) molecules are approximately 80 nucleotides in length. Their secondary structure includes four short double-helical elements and three loops (D, anti-codon, and T loops). The record is from Rfam by way of RNAcentral. Lineage: Eukaryota; Metazoa; Chordata; Mammalia; Carnivora; Felidae.
GCCCAGCUGGCUCAGUCGGAGCAUGAGACUCUUGAUCUCAAAGUUGUGAGUUUGAGCCCCACGUUGGGUG